RNAcentral lists this ribosomal RNA (229 nucleotides) under uncultured bacterium. RNAcentral's name for it is "partial 16S ribosomal RNA". It matches the Rfam family "Bacterial small subunit ribosomal RNA", at positions 568 to 796 of the family's 1533-position model. The record is from RNAcentral.
UGCGCAGGCGGGCUUGUAAGUCAGUGGUGAAAUACUGCCGCUUAACGGUAGAACUGCCAUUGAUACUGCGAGUCUUGAAUAUGGUUGAGGUAGGCGGAAUGUGUUGUGUAGCGGUGAAAUGCAUAGAUAUGACACAGAACGCCGAUUGCGAAGGCAGCUUACUAAGCCAUUAUUGACGCUGAGGCACGAAAGCGUGCGGAGCGAACAGGAUUAGAUACCCUGGUAGUCC